UGAGAGCCUCAACUGUUGUAGGACCUCCA
Molecule: non-coding RNA, 29 nt
Filed under: Rattus norvegicus (Norway rat)
Lineage: Eukaryota; Metazoa; Chordata; Mammalia; Rodentia; Muridae
Source: RNAcentral